CGUUUGAAUGCUCUCUGAGAGCUUAAUGCCUUUUUUAUAUUGUGGCACCCAAAACUGCACACAGCACUUGAGGGAACACAAGUUUGGCAAGAUGAGAUCGACUGAAUAUGAUGCAGUGAAAAAAGAGACUGCCAGUGCUUGAGGAAGAUCUGGCCAACCUGGCAUAGGAGAGUGGGCAGUUGCCUGAGGCUGUGAUGGGAUCAGGGUGGUUGGUACCUGCAGGAAGCACUGUGCAUGCUGGCCACGUGUUCCAUUGUACUGCUGUAGGGCCUGUGGGUGUGCAUCAAACCCACAAUGGAAAUGCUCUGGAUUAAAAAUGGAAACAACUUUUUCCAAGGCAAA
Pipra filicauda (Wire-tailed manakin) is the source of this 342-nucleotide long non-coding RNA. RefSeq lists it as uncharacterized. The record is from RefSeq and is a predicted model, not a curated record. NCBI's taxonomy places the organism in Eukaryota, Metazoa, Chordata, Aves, Passeriformes, Pipridae. The transcript has 3 exons.